RNAcentral lists this ribosomal RNA (369 nucleotides) under uncultured bacterium. RNAcentral's name for it is "bacterial SSU rRNA". It matches the Rfam family "Bacterial small subunit ribosomal RNA", at positions 1178 to 1533 of the family's 1533-position model. The record is from RNAcentral.
GAUGACAUCAAAGUCCUCAUGGCCCUUAUGGGUAGGGCUUCACACGUAAUACAAUGGCGCAUACAGAGGGCUGCAAACCCGCGAGGGGGAGCCAAUCCCAAAAAGUGCGUCGUAGUCCGGAUUGUUCUCUGCAACUCGAGAGCAUGAAGUCGGAAUCGCUAGUAAUCGCGGAUCAGCAUGUCGCGGUGAAUACGUUCCCGGGUCAUGUACACACCGCCCGUCACACCAUGGGAGUGGGGUUCACCAGAAGGCGUUAGCCUAACCGCAAGGAGGGCGACGACCACGGUGAGCUUCAUGACUGGGGUGAAGUCGUAACAAGGUAGCCGUAUCGGAAGGUGCGGCUGGAUCACCAAUCUAGAUGCAUCGCAU